GACGAACGCUGGCGGCGUGCUUAACACAUGCAAGUCGAACGGAAAGGCCCUGCUUUUGUGGGGUGCUCGAGUGGCGAACGGGUGAGUAACACGUGAGUAACCUGCCCUUGACUUUGGGAUAACUUCAGGAAACUGGGGCUAAUACCGGAUAGGAGCUCCUGCUGCAUGGUGGGGGUUGGAAAGCUUCGGCGGUUGGGGAUGGACUCGCGGCUUAUCAGCUUGUUGGUGGGGUAGUGGCUUACCAAGGCGUUGACGGGUAGCCGGCCUGGGAGGGUGACCGGCGACAUUGGGACUGAGAUACGGCCCAGACUCCUACGGGAGGCAGCAGUGGGGAAUAUUGCACAAUGGGCGGAAGCCUGAUGCAGCAACGCCGCGUGCGGGAUGACGGCCUUCGGGUUGUAAACCGCUUUCGCCUGUGACGAAGCGUGAGUGACGGUAAUGGGUAAAGAAGCACCGGCUAACUACGUG
RNAcentral lists this ribosomal RNA (468 nucleotides) under uncultured bacterium. RNAcentral's name for it is "partial 16S ribosomal RNA". It matches the Rfam family "Bacterial small subunit ribosomal RNA", at positions 28 to 507 of the family's 1533-position model. The record is from RNAcentral.